GGGCCUGUAGCUUAGCUGGUAGAGCGUCUCAAUGGCAUUGAGAAGGUCGUCGGUUCAAGUCCGAUCAGGUCCA
This 73-nucleotide transfer RNA is filed under the name Candidatus Moraniibacteriota bacterium. Its description in RNAcentral is "tRNA-Ala". It matches the Rfam family "tRNA". Rfam says of the family: Transfer RNA (tRNA) molecules are approximately 80 nucleotides in length. Lineage: Bacteria; Candidatus Moraniibacteriota. The record is from RNAcentral. RNAcentral also lists the same sequence under 1 other name.